UAAAACAGUUAAUACGCUUAAAAUCACGCACAGCUCCAUCAUAAAACGAUCAAUACGCUUAACCGUUUAAUUAUUGAGCUGUGCGUGAUUUUAAGCGUAUUAAAUGUUUA
RNAcentral lists this microRNA precursor (110 nucleotides) under Phlebotomus papatasi. RNAcentral describes it as "microRNA mir-233". The record is from RNAcentral. Lineage: Eukaryota; Metazoa; Arthropoda; Insecta; Diptera; Psychodidae.